Molecule: long non-coding RNA, 890 nt
Organism: Carassius gibelio (silver crucian carp)
Lineage: Eukaryota; Metazoa; Chordata; Actinopteri; Cypriniformes; Cyprinidae
Exons: 5
Source: RefSeq, a predicted model, not a curated record
AAACCCUAAUGUUGUAAUUAAUAAAGAAAUCAAGUUAACAUAACUUCACAUUACUUAUAACACCAAGUUUUGCCAUCAAAACUUAAACAGGUGUGUUUAAAUUACUCAUUGGCAGUAAAAAUCUUUUGAAUUAAGAUUUUAAGUGUUAUUAACUCAGAAUUUCCAUUUAUUUAAAUUAUUCGUACGUCCCUGUUUAAAAAUGAUUGGUCGCGCUUGAAAUUCUGCCUUGACAACAGCGCCGAUUGGCCAAUAUAACACAAGGCGGGAAUUGUUUGUCGAAUUUGCUGAAGACGCAGCACUGACUGCGGUUCACAAUCAUUUGCAGGAACACCUGAAAGAAGAAAUAAAUAAUACAGUUUAAAGUUAAAUAGCGGGCCAGCUGCACAGUGCACAAGCAGUCAGACAGGCGUUAAAGCAGGCGGGAAGAGAGUCGUCGUGAAAGACCCAGAGUACGCUGGGACAGUAACAUUAGCAGGCAGGUGGUUAUGAAGCAGACGAGGAGGGGGAAGAGUCGAGGCCACAGGAGUAACGUUACGCUGGUCUACGUAGAGUUUAAUAGGAUUGCUGGUAAGAUCUUGAAAAGGGAAUUUUACGAGACCCUUGACCAACAUAGUACAUGGCUCUUGGACAUUUUCAGAGCCAGAACGGGAGUUGCUGGUCAGCUUUUGAUGAACCUUCUGAAGCAACAAAGCUAUCAGAGCCAACUGAAACUGAACUUUGGUGCUUCAAGGACUACCCCUUUGGUUUGGAGAUGACUCCUGCUUUCUUUAAGAUGUGUUUGGUAAGUGUUCCAAGGAGAAAAUGUCCAAAAGACACCCUCUCACCCUCUAUACACACUCUAACACAUUCACAAUCUCGGUCAUUCACACACACUAUAUCAAUCUAAAGGG